Molecule: non-coding RNA, 1156 nt
Organism: Myodes glareolus (Bank vole)
Lineage: Eukaryota; Metazoa; Chordata; Mammalia; Rodentia; Cricetidae
Source: RefSeq, a predicted model, not a curated record
UUCUCCAAAGCACUCUCCCGAGGACAGGGACGUCCCUCCCAGCAGCCCUCACUGCUCCACCCUCAACUUCAGGAAAGUAGGCUUAGGUCUUCUAGGGCCAGUCAGACUCAGUCUGGGAGCCCUUGGACCGGAGGCUAAAGGCAAAGUCAGCUGUCCGCCUAGGGAUGCCAUCACCCCACUUCUCUAGCAGCCCCAGAGAGACUGGCCCGGGAGAUCCUUUCACCAGGCCCACAGGACGGCCUCCUCCUGUUAACAGGGUUACAGAAGUGCACCGCCAUGCCCUGUUUAUGCACCACUGUGCUUCUUGAACGUUAAGCAAGUGCUCUACCAACCAAUGACAGCUCCAGCCAGCGGCCACCUGAUGUCUGUGGGCUUGGCUCUGAGAGCAUGUGCCCUUGUUUCAACGUACAGCCUAUCAGAUGCCUAAGGAAUGGUGCCACCCACAGGUGGCUGACCUUCAUGUAUCGAUUCAGACGACUCUCCACAAACAUGUUCAAAGGCCAAUCUGAUUCAGGAAACCCCUAAAUUGAGACGCCUUUCUGGAGUGACUCUCGGCUGUGUCAAGUUGACUGUUAAAGCAGAUGAGGCCCCGCCCAUCUUCACGGAACCCUAAUCUGUCGAAAAUAAAUCAGAACUGCUGCUGUCUUAUUCAUGCUCCCUGGAUAAAGAGGAAGCAGAAUUGUCCAUUGAGCAUGCAAAGGCUUGUCCUAAGCACUGCCUUUUGGGAGCAGAAGGUACCCGACGCCCAAAGAGAGCCAGCUUGAUGCCGGCCAGACUGCCAUCUGUACUUCCUCCAAGCCAGGCACUUAUCAGCCCUACACUUGGCCACCCAGAAUCCCCGAGCGAGCGAGGGAGCCGAAGGAGCAGAUUAAUCCCUACCAGUGUGGCCCUCCUUUAGAACCUGGUGCCAACAUGCAAGUUCUUCAGAGACUCUUGGGUCUUCCUAGGCAGCCCUCCUCCUGGAUUUCCCAUUGUACAGGUUCUUUUCUUCCUUUCGGAUUCCUUGUCAACUCUUCUUAGCUUGACCUGGUUACUAGUCCACAAGGACACAGGAUAUGAUCUUGUGAUGCUUAAAGAAACAGCAAGGUGGUGGUGGCACAUGUCUUCAAUCUCAGCACUCAGAAGGCAGAGGCAAGCGGAUCUCUGUGUGGUCAAG